CACCGGGAGCGACAGCAGGGUGAAGGCCAGAUUGAAGGUCUUGCCAGACGAGCUGAGAGGAGGUGCAUGGCCGUCGCCAGUUCGUGCCGUGAGGUGUCCUGUUAAGUCAGGCAACGAUCGAGACCCGCAUCCUCUGUUGCAACCAGUCUUGUGCUGGGCACACUGAGGAGACCGCCGCUGAUAAAGCGGAGGAAGGAGCGGGCCACGGCAGGUCAGUAUGCCCCGAAUCUCCCGGGCCACACGCGAGCUGCAAUGGCAGGUACAAUGGGUUCCGACCCCGAAAGGGGAAGGUAAUCCCGAAAGCCUGCCGUAGUUGGGAUCGAGGGUUGACACUCACCCUCGUGAACAUGGAAUCCCUAGUAA
RNAcentral lists this ribosomal RNA (363 nucleotides) under uncultured crenarchaeote. RNAcentral describes it as "bacterial SSU rRNA". It matches the Rfam family "Archaeal small subunit ribosomal RNA", at positions 928 to 1297 of the family's 1478-position model. The record is from RNAcentral. Lineage: Archaea; Thermoproteati; Thermoproteota.